GGGCCCGCACAAGCGGUGGAGUAUGUGGUUUAAUUCGAUGCAACGCGAAGAACCUUACCAGGGUUUGACAUCCUGCGAAUCUCUUGGAAACGAGAGAGUGCCUUCGGGAACGCAGUGACAGGUGGUGCAUGGCUGUCGUCAGCUCGUGUCGUGAGAUGUUGGGUUAAGUCCCGCAACGAGCGCAACCCACGUCUUUAGUUGCCAGCAUUUAGUUGGGCACUCUAGAGAGACUGCCGGUGAUAAACCGGAGAAGGUGAGGACGACGUCAAGUCAUCAUGGCCCUUACGUGUAGGGCUACACACGUGCUACAAUGGGGAGUACAGAUAGACGCUAAAGCGCGAGCUGGUGCUAAUCUCAUAAAAGCUCUUCGU
This 371-nucleotide ribosomal RNA is filed under the name uncultured bacterium. Its description in RNAcentral is "bacterial SSU rRNA". It matches the Rfam family "Bacterial small subunit ribosomal RNA", at positions 917 to 1289 of the family's 1533-position model. The record is from RNAcentral.